This 228-nucleotide unclassified non-coding RNA is filed under the name Melitaea cinxia (Glanville fritillary). Its description in RNAcentral is "misc RNA ENSMCXG00005002970.1". The record is from RNAcentral. Lineage: Eukaryota; Metazoa; Arthropoda; Insecta; Lepidoptera; Nymphalidae.
UGUUUCUUAGAAAUCAACUCCCUUUUGGGGUUAAAACGGGGGAUGUUACGUUGACCCACUCAUCAUGAAAUCUCCGAAACUAUAACAGCUACAAAUUUGACAUUUUGCAAGUAGGUUCCAUAUAAAGCGUAGUCAUAUGCUAAGAACUGAUUUAACGUAACUCGACCCUUAAAGGGGUAAAACGGGGCUUGGAAGUUUAUAUAAAAGUCCUAUGUUUUUGAAGUAAGA